Molecule: long non-coding RNA, 455 nt
Filed under: Accipiter nisus (Eurasian sparrowhawk)
Lineage: Eukaryota; Metazoa; Chordata; Aves; Accipitriformes; Accipitridae
Description: lncRNA (ENSANIG00000008729.1)
Source: RNAcentral
UCCUUGGACUUAACUUGCUUCAUUGCCCCAAAAGAGAUGAGCUUUUGGGCAGAGCAGAGAAAAAUCUUUUCUGUUUCAGGUUCUUCUGGGAAGAACAAAAAGCAAACAUUAUCCAGCAUAAAAGGACCUGAGAACCAAAACCAUACUCACAUGAGCUUUCACUCCCGCUACAAAGCAUCUUGGCUAUGCUCAGCUAAGGCAGCCACAGCUGGAAGACUGGGGAACUUCAAAACUCCUGCUUUAAUCAGAGCCCUUACAAGGAGAAGUCAGCCUGCGAGAAACUUCCGACCAACCGCUCACCUGAUCCUGCUGCAGUGGUCAUGUUCCUCGCCUAACCCGUUAGGAACAAAGCUGUAAGGAGAGCAGAAGGUGUCAAAGUAAAACAGCUGCAUAUCUUCCAAGAAAAGCUCGUGUUUUCCAAAGGAAUUCAAGCGGAGGUGCUUUAUUAAGAGAAC